CUCUUUUAUAAUAUUUUAUUAUAAAAAAUAUUUAAGACUUAUACAUUAUCAUUUUUUAUAUAUUUUAUUAUUUUUAAAUAAUUUUUUCUUUCUUCUUUCUCCUCUUAUAACUCUUUCACUUUUUUUAUUAUAUUGAUCCUCCAAAGUAAAAUUUCUGGAUCUGCCAUUAGGUAAUGGUGAGUUAUUUUAUUAGAAGGCAAAAAAAAAAAACUAGUGUUUGUGUAUCGUGUCUUUCAAACUCUUGAACAUGACUAGGCUAGUGUUUAGGGAUUGCUUGGACAUCAUACUUCAAUUGUAUUCAAUGAUAUAUAGCUUGCUUGGAGAUCAUAUUUUUUGUGUGUGUAUCUACAUAGCUAAUCAUCAUUAGACUUUUACAUGUAUUCAAAAUGUGAUUCAUGAUAUUCUUGUUCAUUACUAAUAGAGCAUCUGUCAUAAUAUUAAGGUUGCAUUCGAUAGCUAGCAAUCUAUCUAGAUUACUGACAAUUUAAAGUGAACCC
Molecule: long non-coding RNA, 497 nt
Filed under: Elaeis guineensis (African oil palm)
Lineage: Eukaryota; Viridiplantae; Streptophyta; Magnoliopsida; Arecales; Arecaceae
Description: long non-coding RNA (EGUI_LNC026236)
Source: RNAcentral